Molecule: ribosomal RNA, 329 nt
Filed under: Pseudomonas aeruginosa
Lineage: Bacteria; Pseudomonadati; Pseudomonadota; Gammaproteobacteria; Pseudomonadales; Pseudomonadaceae
Description: bacterial SSU rRNA
Rfam family: Bacterial small subunit ribosomal RNA
Source: RNAcentral
CUUGUCCUUAGUUACCAGCACCUCGGGUGGGCACUCUAAGGAGACUGCCGGUGACAAACCGGAGGAAGGUGGGGAUGACGUCAAGUCAUCAUGGCCCUUACGGCCAGGGCUACACGCGUGCUACAAUGGUCGGUACAAAGGGUUGCCAAACCGCGAGGUGGAGCUAAUCCCAUAAAACCGAUCGUAGUCCGGAUCGCAGUCUGCAACUCGACUGCGUGAAGUCGGAAUCGCUAGUAAUCGUGAAUCAGAAUGUCACGGUGAAUACGUUCCCGGGCCUUGUACACACCGCCCGUCACACCAUGGGAGUGGGUUGCUCCAGAAGUAGCUAG